Molecule: long non-coding RNA, 349 nt
Organism: Rhineura floridana
Lineage: Eukaryota; Metazoa; Chordata; Lepidosauria; Squamata; Rhineuridae
Exons: 3
Source: RefSeq, a predicted model, not a curated record
AUGAGGCCAGGGAAAGGAAUAUUCUAUGGCUGGUAAUCCAGGACAACAAUGCACUUUUAAUUAACAUUAAUUCCCCAGGAGGACAAAACAAAGUGGCCAAGAUCCAUUGCUGGGAAGGAGGGGCAGACAACAGGCUGGCAGGAGCAAGAUUCUACAAUUGUAAUCCACCCUGGGGCCUUAUAGUGAAGGGCAGGAGGCCAUCAGGAGUGUUUCAUUUUGAGAGAUGGUGGGACCCAAUGCUACCUAUGAACCACACACCCUCCAAUCUGAAAGCCCUCUUCCUGUUCCCCCAAGUGCAGGGGGCUGCUUCCAUGUGCUAUCCUUCUCCACCCUUGCCCCUGCCAAUGGA